GUGAGUUAGCUGACCUAGUUAAUAAAGCAGCUGAUUUCAGUAUUGUGUAGCCUGGGUCGGUUAUAUAAAGCAUUACAAAUUCAUAUAGUGUGUUAAUAUACUAAACCGAAAUAAUUGAUUGCAUGCAGUUAUAACGCUGAUUACUUGUACUAACGCUAUAAGACGUGCAGGAAGACUAAAUGGACGGAGCUCCAGUGGCGCAAUCGGUUAGCGCGCGGUACUUAUACAGCAGUACAAUGCAGAGCAAUGCCGAGGUUGUGAGUUCGAGCCUCACCUGGAGCACAGCUUUUGGAAACCGAAUUGCUUGUUUUUUGAGUUAUUUCUGUUUGUUGGAUCUUACAUGAUGCAGUAAUGACUUCAAAUAUCCUAUUACCCCACAGGACUGGUGGAGGCCAGGAUACAAUUAACAUGAGAUCAGUGGAAAGCAAUGUCUGUGCCGAGAAAGGAGCUGCAUUGAGCAGAACAAACAUUAACACACUGGAGCUGGGUUGUGGUGGAUCCAGAGCCUAUCCCAGGAACACUGGGUGCAGGGAGUUAUUGGGUGGCGUUAUUCCUGUUUGCUGGAUCAUAAAUGAAGUGCAUAGACAAUCCACUCACCAGCAUGUUGUUGAGAAGUUGGAGGAAACUGGAGAAACAGGAGGAAACCCACAUGGACAGAGGGACAACAGACAGUAACCAAAUCUCAAGAUUGAGCUAGGACCCUGGAACUGUGAGGUGGCAACAAAAAUAUAAUACAAAAUAUCCGAUAUAUUCCACAGUUCUCAAAAACUGUAAUGUGAUUACAUUCUCUUCAGAUAUAAUUCAUUAGUUUAUUUGUGCUGACAUACAGAGUGACAGUAAUUAAGUAGGCUGUUACCCCUGUUACCCCUACUCAUGGACUUAAAUAUAGUACACUUAAGACAUUUUUUGUGAAAUCAGUGCUUUGCCCAUACAUGCCCUCUGUCAAUGGCAAGUCAGCAGCAUCCACCAUCACUGUGUUCUGUCAGCACUUGUGGUGUUUCAAGAGACCAUAUGCUUAGUUGACUUUGGAACACGGACAAGACCAAACACACAAUCAUCACUACAAUGCAUUUCCCUUAGCCAGACAUUCCAGUAAAGUUUC
Long non-coding RNA from Ictalurus punctatus (channel catfish), 1102 nucleotides. Lineage: Eukaryota; Metazoa; Chordata; Actinopteri; Siluriformes; Ictaluridae. The record is from Ensembl.